RNAcentral lists this unclassified non-coding RNA (274 nucleotides) under uncultured Aureoboletus. RNAcentral describes it as "sequence contains ITS2". Lineage: Eukaryota; Fungi; Basidiomycota; Agaricomycetes; Boletales; Boletaceae. The record is from RNAcentral.
AAUUCUCAACCAUGUCUUCAUUGACUUGGCUUGGGGGUUGGGGGUUUGCUGGCGGUGUUCUCUGUCGUCAGCUCUCCUGAAAUGCAUUCGUGAUCAGUUGUUAUUGGGGCAUGCACGGCCUUUCGACGUGAUAAUGAUCGUCGAGGGCUGGAGUGUCCUUGACUUAACUAGAUCGCUUUCAUUACUUGCAAGCAAGCUCUUGCUUUUUGGUUAUUAGCUGGUCAACGGCGAACACCAAAGCGUAGACUUGACUUGACUUGACUUGACUUUUGAA